Molecule: non-coding RNA, 107 nt
Filed under: Fragilariopsis kerguelensis
Lineage: Eukaryota; Bacillariophyta; Bacillariophyceae; Bacillariales; Bacillariaceae
Source: RNAcentral
UGUUUAAAAUAAAAAAAAGGUGUAGAAAGUAAAAAGAAAAGUCGUAUCACUAACACAUACAUUACUGUUUGAAACUUGAUUUAUUUCUUUUUCUUUUUCAUCCUGUC